Molecule: long non-coding RNA, 2041 nt
Organism: Brassica napus (rape)
Lineage: Eukaryota; Viridiplantae; Streptophyta; Magnoliopsida; Brassicales; Brassicaceae
Exons: 7
Source: RefSeq, a predicted model, not a curated record
UAAAAUAUUGUUUAAAAUUAUAUAAAUGAAAAAACACAGAAAACAUAUAUUUAAUUAAUCAUAAUUUUUUUAUGAGAUUUAAUAUUUUAGUUGGUUAAGUUAAUAUUGUAAAACCAAAAUUGAUUUCAGUAAAUUUCAGAUUACAUAUGUCAAACUAUUGCAAAAUCUACUUAGGAAAAUAGGGCGGUAUACUAAUGAAUCUGCUAAAUCCAUACUGCUAAAAUCCAAAAUACUUAAAUGCCCGUAGAAUUUUUUGGUAAACAAUAAAUUAGAUUUCUACAUUACCCUUUUUAUGCGUUGCUGAGUUAGUAAAAAAAAUGUAAUUGCUGAGAUGAUGAUGGUGAGAAACCGCAAUAAAUUAUGGUUUUAACUUUUAUCAAAACCAAAGAAACAGCAUUAAAUUAUAGUGCAAACUGACGAAUUAACUAGUCUGGUCAUGGGUAACGUAAACUAAUUAAAGUUAUACUAAUCUAGGAGAAUGGAUAACUAAAGUUUCUGCCAAACUCUACUACACAGAUAUUAACGAUUUCUGCCAACCCUCUAUAUAUCUAUAUAUACUAUAUUAAAAGGGAUAUAUGAGCUCCAUUAAGCCUAUCCACCUCAGCAUAAAAAAUUAUCCAAUUAAAACAUAAGUAAUUGACACAUCAGAUGACACAUCCUAUUUUCUUCAAUCGACGACCUUUCUUCCAAAAAGUUAUUGUUUCCCUUUCGUAUUCCCUUCUGAACCCUUCUUCCAACUUCAAUUAUAUCCCAGCUCCAAUCAAUCGAUUCCUCGCCUGCCUCAUCUUCAUCCUCCAAUGGCAAGGGUUGAUUGCUCGAACCUAGUCUCGAAGCUCUUCCCCUUCUUUUCCUUACUACCGUGAUUGGAACUUCGGUGUUGAUUCCAAUCUAAAGCCUAAGAUAUGUAUCACGACUAGCACAUCAGCUGGAUUGGAUCAGAUUCUACCGUGGAUGUUCUACCAUAAGGUUCUUGGCGUAUCCACGUUUUUUCUUUUUGUAUAAGGGAAAGCUGCUACGCCCACCAUUUCUAAAGUUCUCGAGUCUAUUCCUUAGGCUUAGAAGAAGCAUAAAAAUGAUGGUGUAAAACCGAAGAGACCAUAAAAAAAAGGAGGAGGAAGAUAGAAAAAAGACAUGGAGAAGUCAAAGAAAGGAUAAAAGUCUAUAGUGCAUGGAGUUAAGUUAGAUGAUGUUGCUCGGUUACUGAAUCGUGCUCGCAACUACUCAGCUGUGUGCUUACAUGGCUUAUAUCAGCCGAGAAUAUAAGAAAAGAAAAGUAUGGAGAAUGAGAUGUUAGGUGAAGCUUUUAAGAAGCUUCAGAACCCAUAUGAGAUAGUGAUUGUGGUUCAUCAUUUGUAUCGGCGCAUCAAGUUCAUCCAUCUCUGAUCUCCCUAGCUGUUUCUACUGGGGCCAAAACCAACAUGGAGGUGUUGUUAGAGGUGGUUGAGGAAGAGGCCAAGCUGGUGGUGGCAAAGCCGCAAAGACAAUAAAGAUAACAAAAACUGAAGGUUUUCUACAUUUGUGGAUCAUCGGGUGAACACGCUCCUGUCUCUAGGAGUAUCCGGAGCUAAAUCCUUUGUUGCUCAGAUUUGUGCAAUGAUCUUUUUUUGUAAUUCAGUGGCUACAUGAGAGUUUUUUCUGAUUGACUCAGAGUUUAGAGUCUACAACGAGUGUACGGUAGGAGACGGUAAUGAUGAUAGAGCUGAAUGAUAGCGGUGAAUGACUGACUCAUCACACGAUCGGGAAGAAGUAUAAGCUGAAGGCGAACGGUGAAGACGGACCAGUCAUUUUCUUAUGCAAGGAAGACAGGAAUGAUUCCAUCUCCAUCAGUAACUUAACUCUCUUCACACUCAAGAUGGUGUGGUUACAGUUCUCUGUUUUCUCGACUCUUGAGUUGUUAGUUAUCUAAUGGUAAGAUAUUUUCUCUGUAUGUAAACUUGAUCGUCCACGAAUUAACUCUCAUGUAUUUUGGUUUCUAUUUGUCAGAACAGAGUAUGUCGAUGAUUUUAGCCCAUAACAGUUGUCAGUAAAUUGACUUGAUUUA